This 492-nucleotide ribosomal RNA is filed under the name uncultured bacterium. RNAcentral describes it as "partial 16S ribosomal RNA". It matches the Rfam family "Bacterial small subunit ribosomal RNA", at positions 29 to 507 of the family's 1533-position model. The record is from RNAcentral.
AGUGAACGCUGGCGGUAGGCCUAACACAUGCAAGUCGAACGGCAGCACAGUAAGAGCUUGCUCUUACGGGUGGCGAGUGGCGGACGGGUGAGGAAUACAUCGGAAUCUACUUUUUCGUGGGGGAUAACGUAGGGAAACUUACGCUAAUACCGCAUACGACCUACGGGUGAAAGCAGGGGAUCUUCGGACCUUGCGCGAUUGAAUGAGCCGAUGUCGGAUUAGCUAGUUGGCGGGGUAAAGGCCCACCAAGGCGACGAUCCGUAGCUGGUCUGAGAGGAUGAUCAGCCACACUGGAACUGAGACACGGUCCAGACUCCUACGGGAGGCAGCAGUGGGGAAUAUUGGACAAUGGGCGCAAGCCUGAUCCAGCCAGACCGCGUGGGUGAAGAAAGCCUUCGGGUUGUAAAGCCCUUUUGUUGGGAAAGAAAAGCAGCAGGUUAAUACCCCGCUGUUCUGACGGUACCCAAAGAAUAAGCACCGGCUAACUUCGUG